GUCGAGAAUCUUCCGCAAUGCGCGAAAGCGUGACGGAGCGACACCGCGUGAUGGAUGAAGUCCUUCGGGGCGUAAACAUCUUUUAUAAAGGAGGAAAUUUUUGACGUUACUUUAUGAAUAAGGGGCUCCCAAUCUCGUGCCAGCAGGAGCGGUAAUACGAGAGCCUCAAGCGUUAUCCGGAAUCAUUGGGCGUAAAGGGUGCGUAGGUGGUUUGAUUAGUCUCCCGUUAAAACUUCGAGCUUAACUCGAAAAGAGCGGGGGAAACGGUCAAACUAGAGUAUGUGAGAGGUGUGUGGAACUCAUGGUGUAGGGGUGAAAUCCGUUGAUAUCAUGGGGAACACCAAAAGCGAAGGCAGCACACUGGCACAUCACUGUCACUGAGGCACGAAACCUAAGGUAGCGAAUGGGAUUAGAAACCCUGGUAGUCC
This 428-nucleotide ribosomal RNA is filed under the name uncultured bacterium. Its description in RNAcentral is "partial 16S ribosomal RNA". It matches the Rfam family "Bacterial small subunit ribosomal RNA", at positions 354 to 796 of the family's 1533-position model. The record is from RNAcentral.